GGAGGGGUGGGUGAGUGGUUAAUACCAGCAGGCUGUAAACCUGCCGCCCUUGCGGGCUGCGUAGGUUCGAAUCCUACCCCCUCCACCA
RNAcentral lists this transfer RNA (88 nucleotides) under Chloroflexota bacterium. RNAcentral's name for it is "Chloroflexi bacterium (groundwater metagenome) tRNA-Tyr". It matches the Rfam family "tRNA". From Rfam's summary of the family: Transfer RNA (tRNA) molecules are approximately 80 nucleotides in length. Lineage: Bacteria; Bacillati; Chloroflexota. The record is from RNAcentral.